This 292-nucleotide ribosomal RNA is filed under the name uncultured Bacteroides sp. RNAcentral describes it as "partial 16S ribosomal RNA". It matches the Rfam family "Bacterial small subunit ribosomal RNA", at positions 56 to 339 of the family's 1533-position model. Lineage: Bacteria; Pseudomonadati; Bacteroidota; Bacteroidia; Bacteroidales; Bacteroidaceae. The record is from RNAcentral.
UGCAAGUCGAGGGGCAUCAGUUUGGUUUGCUUGCAAACCAAAGCUGGCGACCGGCGCACGGGUGAGUAACACGUAUCCAACCUGCCUCAUACUCGGGGAUAGCCUUUCGAAAGAAAGAUUAAUACCCGAUAGUAUAAUUAGACCGCAUGGUCUUAUUAUUAAAGAAUUUCGGUUAUCGAUGGGGAUGCGUUCCAUUAGGUUGUUGGCGGGGUAACGGCCCACCAAGCCUUCGAUGGAUAGGGGUUCUGAGAGGAAGGUCCCCACAUUGGAACUGAGACACGGUCCAAACUCC